AGUGAACGCUGGCGGUAGGCCUAACACAUGCAAGUCGAACGGCAGCACAGUAAGAGCUUGCUCUUACGGGUGGCGAGUGGCGGACGGGUGAGGAAUACAUCGGAAUCUACUUUUUCGCGGGGGAUAACGUAGGGAAACUUACGCUAAUACCGCAUACGACCUACGGGUGAAAUCAGGGGAUCUUCGGACCUUGCGCGAUUGAAUGAGCCGAUGUCGGAUUAGCUAGUUGGCGGGGUAAAGGCCCACCAAGGCGACGAUCCGUAGCUGGUCUGAGAGGAUGAUCAGCCACACUGGAACUGAGACACGGUCCAGACUCCUACGGGAGGCAGCAGUGGGGAAUAUUGGACAAUGGGCGCAAGCCUGAUCCAGCCAUACCGCGUGGGUGAAGAAGGCCUUCGGGUUGUAAAGCCCUUUUGUUGGGAAAGAAAGGCAGCAGGUUAAUACCCCGCUGUUCUGACGGUACCCAAAGAAUAAGCACCGGCUAACUUCGUG
This 492-nucleotide ribosomal RNA is filed under the name uncultured bacterium. Its description in RNAcentral is "partial 16S ribosomal RNA". It matches the Rfam family "Bacterial small subunit ribosomal RNA", at positions 29 to 507 of the family's 1533-position model. The record is from RNAcentral.